Long non-coding RNA from Aedes albopictus (Asian tiger mosquito), 464 nucleotides. RefSeq lists it as uncharacterized. The record is from RefSeq and is a predicted model, not a curated record. The transcript has 2 exons. Lineage: Eukaryota; Metazoa; Arthropoda; Insecta; Diptera; Culicidae.
GGAAAUAUCUUAGAAGAAUUUGGAAAAACUUUUGCCAGGGUUAAGCUAUUUCAAAUAUUUUUGAACUUUGUGAGAUAAAUGUAGUGCAUUUUACCGCUAAAUUGUUGAAACAUCGGUAGAAAAUGUAGGUUUGAAAAGGCUACGCAUCCCGGGAACUUCCUUUUUGGAAAGAGGCUUCUGGCAGCUGAUCGAUAUGGUGCUGGGGCUGCUGACCAUGGAACUUCCUGUUACAUCAGGUGAAUUAGAUGCCGAUGAUAAUCAGCAAAAGCCGAGGCAAAAGCUGAACGGAGUAGAAACCAUCCAAGGAACCAUCACAUGGGAGAACUUAAUUAGCAUCCAGACCAGAUAAUUUUAUGGCUCAAGUGGAUUGUUAAUAUUUAUCGCCUUUAAUUUUGUAUUAAGUGCAAGAUUUGUAAAAUGGUUUUAUGUACAAAUAAAAUGUGUACUCUACUUUUUUAUUAUUA